This 24-nucleotide non-coding RNA is filed under the name Cricetulus griseus (Chinese hamster). Lineage: Eukaryota; Metazoa; Chordata; Mammalia; Rodentia; Cricetidae. The record is from RNAcentral.
UAAAAACUCGCACUGGAUUGUCAU